AAGACAGGUGCUGCAUGGCUGUCGUCAGCUCGUGUCGUGAGAUGUUCGGGUUAAGUCCCGCAACGAGCGCAACCCCUAUCUCUAGUUGCCAGCGAUUCGGUCGGGGACUCUAGAGAUACUGCCCCGGUUAACGGGGAGGAAGGUGGGGAUGACGUCAAGUCCUCAUGGCCCUUAUGCCCAGGGCUACACACGUGCUACAAUGGGCGGUACAAGGGUAGCGAUGCCGCGAGGUGAAGCCAAUCCCAAAAAGCCGUCCACAGUUCGGAUUGGAGUCUGCAACUCGACUCCAUGAAGCCGGAAUCGCUAGUAAUCGUGGAUCAGCAUGCCACGGUGAAUACGUUCCCGGGCCUU
Molecule: ribosomal RNA, 351 nt
Filed under: uncultured Desulfobacterium sp.
Lineage: Bacteria; Pseudomonadati; Thermodesulfobacteriota; Desulfobacteria; Desulfobacterales; Desulfobacteriaceae
Description: bacterial SSU rRNA
Rfam family: Bacterial small subunit ribosomal RNA
Source: RNAcentral